GAGGGUAUAGCUCGGUGUUAGAGCACAUGCUUAGUAUGCACAAGGUCCUGGGUUCAAUUCCCAGUACCUCCA
RNAcentral lists this transfer RNA (72 nucleotides) under Camelus bactrianus (Bactrian camel). It matches the Rfam family "tRNA". Rfam says of the family: Transfer RNA (tRNA) molecules are approximately 80 nucleotides in length. Their secondary structure includes four short double-helical elements and three loops (D, anti-codon, and T loops). Further hydrogen bonds mediate the characteristic L-shaped molecular structure. tRNAs have two regions of fundamental functional importance: the anti-codon, which is responsible for specific mRNA codon recognition, and the 3' end, to which the tRNAs corresponding amino acid is attached (by aminoacyl-tRNA synthetases). tRNAs cope with the degeneracy of the genetic code in two manners: having more than one tRNA (with a specific anti-codon) for a particular amino acid; and 'wobble' base-pairing, i.e. permitting non-standard base-pairing at the 3rd anti-codon position. The record is from Rfam by way of RNAcentral. RNAcentral also lists the same sequence under 2 other names. Lineage: Eukaryota; Metazoa; Chordata; Mammalia; Artiodactyla; Camelidae.